AUGGGUUGUGGUUAUGUUGUCAUAUCAAUCUUUUUGUGCUUUUCGUUCACGCCUUACUGCAUCACUUUGGCUAAAUCAACAGAUGUAGGUGGCAAUUUACAAAUGAAUAAGAAGAACACCACUCUUUUCAGGCAUAUGCCUUUUCCGUUUGUCAAAAAUCAAGAUGGAGGAGGCAAUAUUAUUUCUCAUUAUGCUAUGUGGCGCACUAGACCAGGAGGAUUCUAUGGCCUUCGAGCUGAAAUUAGUAUAUGGGGUUCACCAAAUCAAGAAUACUCUCAAGACUCCGGAGCAUCCAUACAAAUUUAUUGUCAAGAUGGAGGACACUACAACUUAAUUGAAGCCGGGUUUCAUGUAUCCCCUUCUUUGUAUCAUAAUAGAGAUGUCCGUUUCUUCACAUAUUGGACGAAGGACUUUAAAUCAGCGGGCUGCUACAACUUGCGGUGCAAAGGAUUUGUUCCUGCAAGUGGAGCUGCACUAGUGCCUGGGCAAGCAGUUACUCCCCCAUCAAGUUAUGGCGAGUAUGACCACUACGUUAGGCUUAGUCCUAAUAAGGAUCCCAAAUCCGAAGAUUGGGUGGUGUACCGUCACGAUUUGCAAACCCCGUCGUUCUUGGGUUAUUUUCCAGUGCAACUUUGUUCUGGAACACCGCGUAUAGAAGCAUUGACUGGAUUUGUCAAUUACUUAAAAAGUACUCAUGGUCCUCCAAUGGGUAGUGGUCACUUUCCUGAUGAGAAGGAUGAUGACAAGACAACAGCGUACUUCAGGCAUGUUAAGAACUACGACUCCAAAGGUCGCGCUUUCGAACCAGUUACAGUUAAUAUGACCCCUUUAGUUGACAAGCCGGAUUGUUACACGGAAACUGAUUUCCUUCCUGGUAUCAACAAGGGGUACCAUUUUCACUAUGGUGGACCAAGUGGUUGUGUUGGUUGA
Molecule: ribosomal RNA, 930 nt
Filed under: Triticum aestivum (bread wheat)
Lineage: Eukaryota; Viridiplantae; Streptophyta; Magnoliopsida; Poales; Poaceae
Description: partial small subunit ribosomal RNA
Source: RNAcentral